Molecule: ribosomal RNA, 451 nt
Filed under: uncultured bacterium
Lineage: Bacteria
Description: partial 16S ribosomal RNA
Rfam family: Bacterial small subunit ribosomal RNA
Source: RNAcentral
GAUGAACGCUGGCGGCGUGCCUAACACAUGCAAGUCGAGCGGCAGCGAGGGGUGCUUGCACCCUGUCGGCGAGCGGCGGACGGCUGAGUAACGCGUGGGAAUGUACCCCAAAGUGAGGAAUAACUGCCCGAAAGGGUAGCUAAUACCGCAUAUUAUCUUCGGAUCAAAGGAUUUAUCCGCUUUGGGAGCGGCUCGCGUCGGAUUAGGUAGUUGGUGAGGUAAUGGCUCACCAAGCCGACGAUCCGUAGCUGGUCUGAGAGGAUGACCAGCCAGACUGGAACUGAGACACGGUCCAGACUCCUACGGGAGGCAGCAGUGAGGAAUCUUCCACAAUGGGCGAAAGCCUGAUGGAGCAACGCCGCGUGCAGGACGAAGGCCUUCGGGUUGUAAACUGCUUUUAUAAGUGAGGAAUAUGACGGUAACUUAUGAAUAAGGAUCGGCUAACUACGUG